GCUGGGGUUUCCGAGCCUGGUACGGAGCCAGCCUGCUAAGUUGGUGUGCUUGCACGCGCGAGUUCGAAUCUCGCCCCCAGCGCCA
Molecule: transfer RNA, 85 nt
Filed under: Candidatus Bathyarchaeota archaeon
Lineage: Archaea; Thermoproteati; Candidatus Bathyarchaeota
Also listed under: 1 other name
Description: tRNA-Ser
Rfam family: tRNA
About the family: Transfer RNA (tRNA) molecules are approximately 80 nucleotides in length. Their secondary structure includes four short double-helical elements and three loops (D, anti-codon, and T loops).
Source: RNAcentral